GAUGAACGCUGGCGGCGUGCCUAAUACAUGCAAGUCGAGCGAACGGACGAGAAGCUUGCUUCUCUGAUGUUAGCGGCGGACGGGUGAGUAACACGUGGAUAACCUACCUAUAAGACUGGGAUAACUUCGGGAAACCGGAGCUAAUACCGGAAAUAUUUUGAACCGCAUGGUUCAAAAGUGAAAGACGGUCUUGCUGUCACUUAUAGAUGGAUCCGCGCUGCAUUAGCUAGUUGGUAAGGUAACGGCUUACCAAGGCAACGAUGCAUAGCCGACCUGAGAGGGUGAUCGGCCACACUGGAACUGAGACACGGUCCAGACUCCUACGGGAGGCAGCAGUAGGGAAUCUUCCGCAAUGGGCGAGAGCCUGACGGAGCAACGCCGCGUGAGUGAUGAAGGUCUUCGGAUCGUAAAACUCUGUUAUUAGGGAAGAACAUAUGUGUAAGUAACUGUGCACAUCUUGACGGUACCUAAUCAGAAAGCCACGGCUAACUACGUG
This 496-nucleotide ribosomal RNA is filed under the name uncultured bacterium. RNAcentral describes it as "partial 16S ribosomal RNA". It matches the Rfam family "Bacterial small subunit ribosomal RNA", at positions 28 to 507 of the family's 1533-position model. The record is from RNAcentral.